UACGUAGGGUGCGAGCGUUAAUCGGAAUUACUGGGCGUAAAGGGCGCGUAGGCGGCCUUCUAAGUCGAACGUGAAAUCCCCGGGCUCAACCCGGGAACUGCGUCCGAUACUGGAAGGCUUGAAUCCGGGAGAGGGAUGUGGAAUUCCAGGUGUAGCGGUGAAAUGCGUAGAUAUCAGGAGGAACACCGGUGGCGAAGGCGGGUCUCUGGGCCGAAACUGACGCUGAGGAGCGAAAGCUAGGGUAGCAAACGGG
RNAcentral lists this ribosomal RNA (253 nucleotides) under uncultured bacterium. RNAcentral describes it as "partial 16S ribosomal RNA". It matches the Rfam family "Bacterial small subunit ribosomal RNA", at positions 524 to 776 of the family's 1533-position model. The record is from RNAcentral.